GUUUUUUUUGCCUUUUUAAUGCUAAGUUAAUUAAUGUAGAGCAGGGGUGAUUAGCAGGUUCCUCGUAGCUGCCAUGAACUAUACUUUCCACGGAGCUUGGCCAGGCUAUGCAGAGAACUCCGGACUCAAAUACAUUUCCUUUCCUUGUUCUUCUGAAAAACCAUUAAUGCAAUUGUAAACACUAAGUUCUGAUGUUCCACAAACACAUAUAAACAUAGUGGGACGUGUAGGUCCACAACCAGAAAGCAACAUGUUGAGGGUAUGGAUGGAUGGUCCACCUCUAAAGAGUAUAGAAC
Pelobates cultripes (western spadefoot toad) is the source of this 296-nucleotide non-coding RNA. Lineage: Eukaryota; Metazoa; Chordata; Amphibia; Anura; Pelobatidae. The record is from the annotation of a GenBank genome assembly.